RNAcentral lists this ribosomal RNA (772 nucleotides) under Petriella setifera. RNAcentral's name for it is "LSU rRNA". It matches the Rfam family "Eukaryotic large subunit ribosomal RNA", at positions 120 to 918 of the family's 3401-position model. Lineage: Eukaryota; Fungi; Ascomycota; Sordariomycetes; Microascales; Microascaceae. The record is from RNAcentral.
AUCUGGCUGCCUGUGCAGUCCGAGUUGUAAUUUGAAGAGGAUGCUUUUGGCAAGGUGCCUUCCGAGUUCCCUGGAAUGGGACGCCAUAGAGGGUGAGAGCCCCGUAUGGUCGGUCGCCGAGCCUCUGUAAAGCUCCUUCGACGAGUCGAGUAGUUUGGGAAUGCUGCUCAAAAUGGGAGGUAAACCCCUUCUAAAGCUAAAUAUUGGCCAGAGACCGAUAGCGCACAAGUAGAGUGAUCGAAAGAUGAAAAGCACUUUGAAAAGAGAGUUAAACAGCACGUGAAAUUGUUGAAAGGGAAGCGCUUGCGACCAGACUUGUGCUCGUCGAAUCAGCCGUCGCUCGUCGGCGGCGCAUUUCGGCGGGCUCAGGCCAGCAUCAGUUCGCUGUAGGGGGAGAAAGGCGGUAGGAAUGUGGCUCUUCGGAGUGUUAUAGCCUACCGUAUAAUACCCCUCGGUGGACUGAGGACCGCGCAUCUGCAAGGAUGCUGGCGUAAUGGUUGUCAGCGACCCGUCUUGAAACACGGACCAAGGAGUCGUCCUAAUAUGCGAGUGUUCGGGUGUAAAACCCCUACGCGUAAUGAAAGUGAACGGAGGUGAGAGCUUCGGCGCAUCAUCGACCGAUCCUGAUGUUCUCGGAUGGAUUUGAGUAUGAGCAUAUUGGGCCCGGACCCGAAAGAAGGUGAACUAUGCCUGUAUAGGGUAAAGCCAGAGGAAACUCUGGUGGAGGCUCGCAGCGGUUCUGACGUGCAAAUCGAUCGUCAAAUAUGGGCAU